This 567-nucleotide ribosomal RNA is filed under the name uncultured Bacillus sp. Its description in RNAcentral is "bacterial SSU rRNA". It matches the Rfam family "Bacterial small subunit ribosomal RNA", at positions 1 to 554 of the family's 1533-position model. The record is from RNAcentral. Lineage: Bacteria; Bacillati; Bacillota; Bacilli; Caryophanales; Bacillaceae.
AUUAGAGUUUGAUCAUGGCUCAGGACGAACGCUGGCGGCGUGCCUAAUACAUGCAAGUCGAGCGGACAGAUGGGAGCUUGCUCCCUGAAGUCAGCGGCGGACGGGUGAGUAACACGUGGGCAACCUGCCUGUAAGACUGGGAUAACUUCGGGAAACCGGAGCUAAUACCGGAUAACACCGAGGACCUCAUGGUCCUUGGUUGAAAGAUGGCUUCGGCUAUCACUUACAGAUGGGCCCGCGGCGCAUUAGCUAGUUGGUGAGGUAACGGCUCACCAAGGCGACGAUGCGUAGCCGACCUGAGAGGGUGAUCGGCCACACUGGGACUGAGACACGGCCCAGACUCCUACGGGAGGCAGCAGUAGGGAAUCUUCCGCAAUGGACGAAAGUCUGACGGAGCAACGCCGCGUGAGCGAUGAGGGCCUUCGGGUCGUAAAGCUCUGUUGUUAGGGAAGAACAAGUACCGUUCGAAUAGGGCGGUACCUUGACGGUACCUAACCAGAAAGCCACGGCUAACUACGUGCCAGCAGCCGCGGUAAUACGUAGGUGGCAAGCGUUGUCCGGAAUUAU